ACUGGAUAGGAAACAAAAAGGCAUCUUUUUGUUUUUAAAAGACCUUCUUACGAAGGUAUGCUUAAAGAGGGGCUUGCGCCACAUUAGUUAGUUGGUAGAGUAAAAGCCUACCAAGACGAUGAUGUGUAGCUGGACUGAGAGGUUGAACAGCCACAUUGGGACUGAGACACGGCCCAAACUCCUACGGGAGGCAGCAGUAGGGAAUUUUCGGCAAUGGAGGAAACUCUGACCGAGCAACGCCGCGUGAACGAUGAAGUAUUUCGGUAUGUAAAGUUCUUUUAUUGAAGAAGAAAAAGUAGUGGAAAAACUAUAUUGACGUUAUUCAAUGAAUAAGCCCCGGCUAACUAUGUGCCAGCAGCCGCGGUAAGACAUAGGGGGCGAGCGUUAUCCGGAAUUAUUGGGCGUAAAGGGUGCGUAGGCUGUUAGAUAAGUCUAUAAUUUAAUUUCAGUGCUUAACGCUGUCUUGUUAUAGAAACUGUCUUGACUAGAGUGAGAUAGAGGCAAGCGGAAUUCCAUGUGUAGCGGUAAAAUGUGUAAAUAUAUGGAGGAACACCAGAAGCGUAGGCGGCUUGCUGGGUCUUUACUGACGCUGAGGCACGAAAGCGUGGGUAGCAAACAGGAUUAGAUACCCUGGUAGUCCACGCCGUAAACGAUGAGUACUAAGUGUCGGGGUAAAACUCGGUACUGAAGUUAACACAUUAAGUACUCCGCCUGAGUAGUACGUACGCAAGUAUGAAACUUAAAGGAAUUGACGGGACUCCGCACAAGCGGUGGAUCAUGUUGUUUAAUUCGAAGAUACACGAAAAAUCUUACCAGGUCUUGACAUACUCUGCAAAGCUAUAGAAAUAUAGUGGAGGUUAUCAGGGAUACAGGUGGUGCAUGGUUGUCGUCAGUUCGUGUCGUGAGAUGUUAGGUUAAGUCCUAAAACGAACGCAACCCUUGUCGUUAAUUGCCAGCACAUAAUGGUGGGGACUUUAACGAGACUGCCAAUUAAACAUUGGAGGAAGGUGAGGAUUACGUCAAAUCAUCAUGCCCCUUAUGAUCUGGGCUACAAACGUGAUACAAUGGCUGUGACAAAGAGUAGCUGAAACGCGAGUUUUUAGCCAAUCUCAAAAAAGCAGUCUCAGUUCGGAUUGAAGUCUGUAACU
Molecule: ribosomal RNA, 1148 nt
Filed under: 'Hishimonus phycitis' 16SrVI phytoplasma
Lineage: Bacteria; Bacillati; Mycoplasmatota; Mollicutes; Acholeplasmatales; Acholeplasmataceae
Description: bacterial SSU rRNA
Rfam family: Bacterial small subunit ribosomal RNA
Source: RNAcentral